AAUGUGCUUUUGGCUAGGCUCCUUAUCUAAAGGCUGUGAUCUUUGUCAGGAAGAUUGACAAAGCUUGUAUCCAUGGUAUUUAUUUAUGCACGCUGAUAUGUACAGUCUGGGGACAGACUACUUCGAAUGUUGCUUUCUUGGAGACAGAUGUCAGUGCUGUUCAUAGAAAGGUGCUGUUGUGGACUGCAAUGCUCUGACAUGCUGUCCAUCUUGUCAUCUUGAAUAUUCCUCUCCUGAAUUAGCUCUGUGCAAGGUACAGACAGGGAGCUACAAUAAUAUAUCUGUAUAUGGGCUGCACUGUGGUCUCUGAAAGUGAAGAGGUGACAACUUCCAAGCAGAAGCUGUUGUUGAAGCCACUGACCUAAUAGUGUUUUAAAGCCUGGUGUUAUUUCAAGUUGGCCAUCAGAACCCAAGAGUCAAAGGCUAGAAGGAGUUAACAUCAACCUGGCAUCUUGCUUCAGGAUCACUGGAUUUGAAAAAUAAGAGGACCAGGAGACUAGAAGGAGCAUAAAUAAAUGAAGCAAGGGCAAGUCAGUCACCCUGGAAGACUCCCUCCCACUUAACACAAAGCAAUCCAUUUGAAAUGAUUGGACUUCAGACUACCUUUAAUCUGUUAUUUCCCAUCUGCCUGCAGUGGAGCAUCAUUUAGAGGCUGGUCUGUCUCUAAAAAAUCCUUGUGAACAGCAGCUGUCCAGUUAUUCCCAAAACACGCCAGUCCUAUCUAGCUUGUAAGCAUGUUAUCUUACGGGACAGGGCUGACUGAUGCUGGCUGAUAAACAGAUGGGUGAUCUUCCAGCUGUGGGGCACAGACUGAAGAAUUUGCUUUGGGUUUAAAGCAAAAGGAAUUUUCUGAACUUGCUCAACUGAAUUCCACGUUGUGUUUGACCUUGGCUCAAUGGCACCUAAAUCUGUAAUACUAUGUAUCCAUUAUAAUAUGUAUGAAUAAGCAAAACCUGUAGAGGCAUCUCUCUGAAGCAGGACAAUAGCUUAAUGCCUUUUUGCUAUUAGUGUAAGUGAUACUAAUCUCACAUCUUUCCUUUAGUUCCCUUGUCCCUGAAGGUAUCUGUUAGCAAAUGCUGUACUUAAGCUAAUGGACACCACCAGCAGAAUCUCCAAGCCAGAUCACCCCAACUAUUCUGUGAUAUUUCAGGGCUUUUUAAUACUCUGAUCAAUAUGUGUGGAGAUUUCUUGCAACAGAAGUAAACUACCGUUAACUGAGAGAGAAUUGAUUAGUUUAAGCCCAUCAUGAUUUGACUGCAGGCCACAGCCAUACCCAAUGCUGUCUGCUUUCAGUCUGCCCAUGGGUGACUUGGCUCCAUGUUGGCAAGGUACAGUGGUUCCUGGAAGAGUCACCCUGACAUACACAGCCAUACUCAAAAUACAAAUGCGUUGACCUAAAUUGGUUAGAUACUUAAACAGAACAGGAGCGGGAAGGCAGAUAAGAAUUUUAUUAUGGCCCUGGAGAAGCAAAUUGAAUUCAGCCUCAGCAGGUGUACUGCUGGAUGCAAUGGUCUGGAUUGUUUUGUUAGUUUUGCUGGAGGGUAGUGCUUUAGCCUUGCUCAUCAUUAAUCAGGAAUAAAGAGCCCAUUUUAUUAGUUACCGUGCACAGAUUUUCCCUCUUGCAGGAUAUUUAAAAUACUAUGAAUCAGCAUUCAACUUGAAAACAUUAAAAGACUUGGAAAGGAAAUUUCAAAUAAGUGCAAGGAAGGAUAUAAAAAGUGGGAUCAAUUUAACUGGAAAAUGCAUUACCCAUGUAAGUCCUAAAUAUCUGCUGAGUGUGGAAAGGCUGAUAAAAACAAACGAAUCAAUAGAAUUAAUUAACUGGGAGGCAGUGUGGUCUAACAGAAAGACCAUAAGGAUGGGAGCAAAUCCUCUUGUGAUUUCAGCUUGUACUGCAGUACUGAAUAACUAGGUGUUUAGGCUUCAGUCUCUUUUUAAGGCUGUCUGAAGGAUUUAGGUUUUCUCAUCAGUAGGUCUUAGAUCCUCAGACGCCUUCCCUUUGACUGCACCCAAGAUAAGAGUACCAUGUAAUCACUGUGCUUCCAAAGAGUUCUCAAGGCAGGUAGUAGAAAAUCAAACUUCAGAAGCUGAAGAUUUGAACUGUGCCCUGGUGAAUGCAAUGGCAACCCUCGGCCUCCCCAUUGAAGAGGAGUAGAAUGAAAUUCUGUCUUCAGUUCUGCAAAAUUAAUUGCCUUGAAGUUACUACUCCUUGGGUCACUGUUUUCAACAAGGAAUGCACUACUUGUAGGGAAAACCUGGAAUGCUGUGUGGAUUAGCACAUAGACCACUUGUAAAAAGUCCUUUCUAGAUGAAGCUCGCUCUGCAUUUCAUUUUCCUAAAAGUGCCCGCUUUCCAUGUUGGCAAGGUAGCAGGGAACUCAUCAAGCUCCCGCCCGACCAAAGCCAGUCCAGCUAUCAACAGCAGAACUGGUGGCAUCCUAGCCACAAGACUGUGCUUUAGUAGAGUGAACAGAGGAAAUGACAUAACAGCUGAGCUAAAAGCUACAGGAGACUUGCCUAUUAUAUUGACUUAUUGCUGUUUUUUUGUGAGUUUGAAUUUUCAUCUGGAUUUUAAAGCUUUUGCAGCUUUAGGCAUAAGCUUCCAGGGAGCUUAAAAGCACAACCUGCAGUAGAGGUAUGCUUGAGCACCAGAGUAGUGGAAGAUCUCAUCUACUAAGCACUGUCCUAUAUCUGUAUCCUUCUUUCAAUACGAUCUUUUUAAAGCAGUCUUGUAUCCUUGCCACCAGUAAAUCCAUUUCCAAACUGC
This 2766-nucleotide long non-coding RNA is filed under the name Gallus gallus (chicken). RNAcentral describes it as "lncRNA (ENSGALG00010012689.1)". The record is from RNAcentral. Lineage: Eukaryota; Metazoa; Chordata; Aves; Galliformes; Phasianidae.